GAUGAAGAACGCAGCGAAAUGCGAUACGUAAUGUGAAUUGCAGAAUUCAGUGAAUCAUCGAAUCUUUGAACGCACAUUGCGCCCUGUGGUAUUCCGCAGGGCAUGCCUGUUCGAGCGUCAUUUCAACCCUCAAGCUCUGCUUGGUGUUGGGCCCUGCCCGCUGCGGCCGGCCCUAAAGACAGUGGCGGUGCCGCCUGGCCCUGAGCGUAGUACAUCUCUCGCUCCAGUGCCCGGUGGUAGCCUGCCAGAACCCCAACUCUCGUGGUUGACCUCGGAUCAGGUAGGGAUACCCGCUGAACUUAAGCAUAUCAAUAAGCGGAGGA
RNAcentral lists this unclassified non-coding RNA (323 nucleotides) under soil metagenome. RNAcentral describes it as "partial contains 5.8S ribosomal RNA, internal transcribed spacer 2, and large subunit ribosomal RNA". The stretch from base 1 to 120 matches the Rfam family "5.8S ribosomal RNA", at positions 35 to 154 of the family's 154-position model. The record is from RNAcentral.